RNAcentral lists this unclassified non-coding RNA (799 nucleotides) under soil metagenome. RNAcentral describes it as "partial contains internal transcribed spacer 1, 5.8S ribosomal RNA, and internal transcribed spacer 2". The stretch from base 157 to 311 matches the Rfam family "5.8S ribosomal RNA". The record is from RNAcentral.
GUGAUUAAAUCGAGCGUGUCUUCAUUGACCGCUCACCCUUCUCACCAUCCACAUACACCUGUGCACUGUUUAGGCCUGAGCCGGUUUUCGCGGUCCAGGUUAUCAUUUCAUACAAACUCUAGUCUUAUGAAUGUAAACGUUUUAAUAACAUAAUAAAACCUUCAACAACGGAUCUCUUGGUUCUCGCAUCGAUGAAGAACGCAGCGAAAUGCGAUAAGUAAUGUGAAUUGCAGAAUUCAGUGAAUCAUCGAAUCUUUGAACGCCACCUUGCGCUCCUUGGUAUUCCGAGGAGCAUGCCUGUUUGAGUGUCAUGAAACUCUCACCCUCUAGCUUUCUUAAUCGUGGCUAGCGGCGUGGACGUGAGCGCUGCUGCUUUGUUGCGGCUCGCUCGAAAUGCAUUAGGCAGACCCUUUUCGUAAUCGGUUCCACUCAACGUGAUAAGUAUUUCGUUGAGGACAGCUGCAGCAAUGCGGCUGGCCGGGAUAAGAAAGGCAUAGUUGUCAGCUUCUAAUCGCCCCUUGGGCAAUUUUUUAUGAUCUGGCCUCAAAUCAGGUAGGACUACCCGCUGAACUUAAGCAUAUCAAUAAGCGGAGGAGAGGAAGUAAAAGUCGUAACAAGGUUUCCGUAGGUGAACCUGCCUGCGGAAGGAUCAUUACUGGGUUUUGAGUUUGUAUGAACUCGUCCACCCACCCCUUUGUCAUUUGCAAAUGAUCUCUUCGGUCGUUUGUUCACUCAAACGACCGGCAUUGCAAAACUCUUUGUUGUAAAAAUGAAGUCUGUCUUUUUUAUUGAAUUAAAA